UUCUGUUCAUAUUGAUUUUACUGUUGCCUCUUCUUCUCAACAUUACAUGUGUUUAUUUUAGGUCUGAUGUAUUUAGCUUUGAAGUUAUACUAUGAGAGCUUCGUUUUUAUACUGAUAGAUUGUUAACUAAAUGGCUGUUGAAUUUUAGGAGGGCUUACUUGGUCUGAUUUGUUUGUACUCUGAAGGAAUGUGACAAUUGAAUUUUCCGCCCCAAAAUGGUGUUGCUGCGAAGUCAAGUCUUUAUCUCGAUCGGACAGGCGAACCUGAUUGUGUAUGUUAUUUAAGAACACGAGUAUGUGGAUAUGGGAGCAGUUUCCAAUUAAUCAUCAUUCUUAUAUAUCCAGGACAGGUACCAGUAGCAGUUUCAUAUCCCACUCUAUUGAAGUAAAAAACCAUAUUUAGAUGACUUUCACGUUCUUUCAUAUUUUGUGGGUUGUAUUUUUGUUUGUUUUAGGUUUUGGGAAUCUAUAUAGUGCAACAAAUUUAACCCAUCGAAUGUUCCAUCGUCCUGAGAAUCUAACUAUAGCUUUUCUGUGCAUUAGUAUUAUGUACAUGAACUUUCACUGUUUUAUGCUCUAUAGAUUAGUCGUUUAAUUUACAGUUAUUGGGGUGAGCCUAGACUUUCUAAACCAGGUUGAUAAGACUGACUAUGAGAGGAAGAAUAGUGGGUUUAUAAUACUGGAAUACCAUUCUAUUUAAGGAUAAUAUAGCAACCAACCAAAGACAAAUUUAACACCAGGGCUGGAUCGUUUGCAUUUUCACUACUGAAGUCUUUUGUCCCACGUGACACAUGGGUGGUUAGAAAGUUGUCAAAAUCUGGAGCAUUGAUCACGGGCAAGGCCAGCCUUAGCGAAUGGUCCAAUUCUUAUGGUACGGGUGUUCCCUUGGGAUGGCGUGGAAAAGGUGGACAUGGCUGGCUACAGUUCUUCUACGAUGCCUCCACAUGGCUGCCUCACUCAGAAACGUUGAAGUUGUUGAGUCUAAAAGUGAAGAAAAAUUGUAAAUUGAUCGCAAAUUGAUUAUUUGUAGAAUUCUUUUGUUACUUUUAAUGAAUCUCAUCUCUUGCCAUAUAGGUUUUCCAAGGAUUCAUAAAGGAGGAAAAUGACAUCAACAUGAAGUUCACUGGAUAUAUGAGAGGAAAAUCUUUUGUACUUGGAGGAACUUCAAGCCACUAAGGCCGUCUUGAAUUUGGGUACUACUUAGGAAGUGUUUUUGGAAGUUUGGGAGAAGUUCAUAAAAAAUGCCUUCAUCUUUGUAGGUUUGCAUAAUGAUAAUGCUGAACACCAUAAAUCCUUUUAAGUGGGUUUCUUUGGGGGAAAAUAUCAAGUCAUGGUUACUGCUGGUCACCAGAAAUGAAGCGGUGUGUUGUCGACUCAAAGCUAAAGAAGGUUGAGUUGCAUAGAGUGAGACAUUUACCAGAGAGGCCACUAAACCAGUGCUUAGGGAGAAGAUUGUUGUCCCCUUCGCAAAGCCUUUCAUAACUUCCAUGGGGGGUUUCUCAAAACCCACAUACCAUAAACGACAAUGCAUCAUCCAUGAACCGAGACGACGGGAGAGCAUUAAUGACCACACUUUGUAGUAAGUAAAUAUGACUAUUUGGUGGCCUUCAACUCAAUAUUGGAGGUAACAAUUCACACUUACUGGAUAUAUAUUUUUUAAAUUUUUAGUUGAAGUUAAAAUGUUUCCUAUAUAAGAUAACUUGAUGUAGAAUUGUAGAUAUUCUGUGACUAAAUAUAAGAAAAACAAUCAGAAGCCUAGCAUUGUCUUACGCAAAUUCUAUUCGCAGAUGUUAACUCUCAUAUAUAAAUUGUUAUUUGCAUCUGAAUUGCAAAUUCAUUAGGAACUGAUAACUUACCUAUAUUGAGUUUUAAUUAGUCAAUAUUGUUUACGAAAUUAAGGAUUUGAAAAGCAAAAAACUCAAUGCUGUUUUAUCAUCACUAUGGCAUACUCAAUGUCUUGAUGUACAUGGUAUUUAUGUCUCCACUUCAUGGCCUCGACACUGUAUAUCAACACUGUCAUAUUGAUUUUUGCCAGAACUUACUAUUAAGUGCAAAAUGUUAAGGCUUUUGUAUACUGUUGAGCAUUCUACCUAUUUAUGGUCUGACCCAUGCCAUCAUCUGCAGUAACUUGGAUGCCUAUAAGACGUUUAUAAGUUCAUAUUUUGUUGUUUCCAGAAUUUGGCAGUAGUAUUAUUCCAUGACAUGCUUCCUGGGUUUGAGAAAUGUGUUUCAUUUGUUUCCAUUAUGUUGAUGUGAGAUAGCAAAUUGUUCAUGCUCCUUCUAUAAUGUGUGCAUAAUACCAACUAAUUUGUAGGUUUAUAAGGUACACAGAUACACCAUGACCUUAGCAUGGAAGUAAAGUAACUCUUUAUUUUACUUUUUGACACUUAGCAUUUUGAAGAUAUUACAGUGAUGUUGCUUUGGUGAGUAUUUAUUAUUAUGACUUAUUUUGACUUGGUACCCAGAAAUGUUAUCUGUUUAGUCAUCAUGUUUGUGGUGUUUCCAGCUGAGACUUCCUUCACUAGCUAAACUAACAGUCAGCCUUUGUUUGAACAUGUUGGAUUCCAAAGAAGAAUUACUAAUUUAGCCAUGCAGGAGAUUGAAAGACACUUGGUAAUCUCAUUGAACAUGUAUCUUGCAGUAGUUGCAAUGCUAAUGUUAGAGAUUGGGUUGCAGUAAUUAGUGAUGCCGGGUUAAGGCCUCCUUAAGGUUGGUGCCAUCAUUAUCAUUUUGGUUCUUUAGAUCAACCAAGGGGCUUGAUUGAACACGGAAGCCAGGCUCAUUGGUUUGUUGAUGGACAAGCAACAUUUCAAGCAAUUGAAUCAGCCGUUUGAGGAACAAUGUCAAGAGGCCAAUUUCUCAUCUUGAAAUUGAUAAGAAAAAAUCAUAAAGGGAUUGUUACUUCUAUGUAUGUAUUCACUACAUAAAGGGUAUCAGGAUAGCAAAGAGGCAUUCGUAUUUUUUAUUUGAUGGGGCAUAAGUGGAGUUUGGCUCUGGCAUCAAAAUGAGGAAACAACUCCGGAUAAAUUUAUGACGAAAAUGGUAAAAUAGCUUUAGUUCUUGAAACCAUUUUGUAAAGAUACUAAUUUAUAUGCUCCGAUUUUGUUUUCUUCGGCUUGAUGGCGCAUAAUACAUUUAAUGUCGAUAUAAAUAAUAAAAUUCAAAUUCUUUGUGAGAAAUACCAGACUUCAUAAGGA
Long non-coding RNA from Papaver somniferum (opium poppy), 3196 nucleotides. RefSeq lists it as uncharacterized. The record is from RefSeq and is a predicted model, not a curated record. Lineage: Eukaryota; Viridiplantae; Streptophyta; Magnoliopsida; Ranunculales; Papaveraceae. The transcript is spliced from 4 exons.